RNAcentral lists this ribosomal RNA (468 nucleotides) under uncultured bacterium. RNAcentral describes it as "partial 16S ribosomal RNA". It matches the Rfam family "Bacterial small subunit ribosomal RNA", at positions 28 to 507 of the family's 1533-position model. The record is from RNAcentral.
GACGAACGCUGGCGGCGUGCUUAACACAUGCAAGUCGAACGGACAGGCCAUGCUUUUGUGGGUUGCUCGAGUGGCGAACGGGUGAGUAACACGUGUGUAACCUCCCCUUGUCUUUGGGAUAACUUCAGGAAACUGGGGCUCAUACCGGGUAUGAGAUCCUGCUGCAUGUUGGUGGUUGGAAAGUUUCGGCGGUUGUGGCUGGACUCGAGGCUUAUGAGCUUGUUGGUGGGGUAGUUGCUUACCAGGGCUUUGACGGGUAGCCGGCCUGGGAGGGGGACCGGCCACAUGGGUACUGAGAGACGGCCCAGAAGCGUACGGGAGGCAACAGGCGAGAAUAUGGCACAAUAGGCGCAAGCCAGAUGCGACAACCCCGGGUGCGGGAUGACGGCCUUCGGGUUGAAAACCGCUUUCGCCUGUGACGAAGCGGGAGUGACGGUAAUGGGUAAAGAAGCACCGGCUAACUACGUG